GGAGUCGGCCAGGCGACCGCGGCGACGGCGCGUGGGCACAGCCCGCGACCGGCGCCGAGGAAAGUCCGGACUCCGCAGGGCAGGGUGCUGGGUAACGCCCAGGCGCGGCGACGCGCGGACAGUGCCACAGAAAGCAGACCGCCUGAAGCCUGCGAGCGGGAAGUAUGCCGAAAGGCGUAAACCGACCGCGGGCACAGGUAAGGGUGAAACGGUGCGGUAAGAGCGCACCAGCGUCCGAGGUGACUCGGGCGGCUCGGUAAACCCCACCUGGAGCAAGGCCAAGCAGGGACAGGGUGGCCCGCCCGGUACGUCCCAGGUAGGCCGCACGAGGCGUCGGGUAACCGGCGUCCCAGAUAGAUGGCCGCCACCCGGUAGCCCCGGCGACCGGGAACAGAAUCCGGCUUACGGCCGGCUCCCUCC
This 420-nucleotide RNase P RNA is filed under the name Actinomycetota bacterium. Its description in RNAcentral is "RNase P RNA component class A". It matches the Rfam family "Bacterial RNase P class A". Rfam says of the family: Ribonuclease P (RNase P) is a ubiquitous endoribonuclease, found in archaea, bacteria and eukarya as well as chloroplasts and mitochondria. Its best characterised activity is the generation of mature 5'-ends of tRNAs by cleaving the 5'-leader elements of precursor-tRNAs. Lineage: Bacteria; Bacillati; Actinomycetota. The record is from RNAcentral.